Molecule: long non-coding RNA, 1010 nt
Organism: Macadamia integrifolia
Lineage: Eukaryota; Viridiplantae; Streptophyta; Magnoliopsida; Proteales; Proteaceae
Exons: 2
Source: RefSeq, a predicted model, not a curated record
CUCCCUUAUAGUUUAUCGAAAUUACACAUGUAUUUAAGGAUUUGAACGAAUUACGCCCCCUUCCAUGUAAUUUCUAAGAUUUUUACAAUUAGAUCCAAUCUGUUAGCCUAGGUUAAAAUGGGACUGUUAGUUGUUGAAAAUGCCCUUAUAUACACAUGAAGCUUCCCGUCAUUGUCUUCAGCCCACCCCCAACGCCGGAGAAGAUGACCGAAAUCAUGCAUCCAAAGUAUGAGUUUGAUGCUGGUGGCUGAAGCUCUUGCUUUCUACCCAAUGAGUCCCAGGUCAAAGAAUCAAGGUAGUUUCUUCGCCGAGUUUGAGUGUAGAAUCGGAGCCGCCUUCUUCCUGUCGAGUCAUCGACCCACCUAUGAAUUACAAAUCCCUUUUUUCAACUCACCUGAUCGGUUUAUCCCUAACGCCAUUAAGAAGCAGUCGAGAUUUAGUCCAGAAAUCAACAUUACUCCUUAUGCCUUCAUGGCAGGACAUCUGGAAAUCCUUCAGAUUGACAAAUCGGGAUGAGUUGGGAGAGUAAUCAGAUGAUUUCUUUGAAGAGGAUCUCGUCGCAUGGAAUGGCCAGACGCGUCUGCGCUUUUAUUUCAUAUGCACAUUUAACUCUCGUGUUUUAUUUUCCUUUGUCUUGAUCUUUUCAUGAGGUUGCUUAUUUUACUUAGAUAUAUUGUUCACGUUGUGGCUACUUUUUCCCAUUUUUUAUUCUUUGCAUUUCCACAGACUGGUAGUUUGCAGCUGAGCAGUUUGUUAGGAGCUUCCCAUACAAAGUGAUUGUCCAUUGUUGAGUCUAGAUUCGACAACAAUCUGAUGGCCCCAGCGGUGCCGAUACAGAUGUCGGAGCCGGCGAUAACGGAAUAGUCAAUGAAGGCAACGAUCUUGGUGCGAGGGAAGAAGGCCGCGACGUGCGGGAGGUCAAGCAUCUCAUGGCCGAAGGUUAGGCUGCAUUUGCAGCCAUUUCUGUUCCAUAAACGACGUUUUAUGUCAAAAACAAAAAUUUCAGUUUC